RNAcentral lists this ribosomal RNA (1000 nucleotides) under uncultured bacterium. Its description in RNAcentral is "bacterial SSU rRNA". It matches the Rfam family "Bacterial small subunit ribosomal RNA", at positions 355 to 1375 of the family's 1533-position model. RNAcentral also lists the same sequence under 1 other name. The record is from RNAcentral.
UGGGGGAUAUUGCGCAAUGGGGGCAACCCUGACGCAGCAACGCCGCGUGAAGGAUGAAGGUUUUCGGAUUGUAAACUUCUUUUAUUAAGGACGAAAAAUGACGGUACUUAAUGAAUAAGCUCCGGCUAACUACGUGCCAGCAGCCGCGGUAAUACGUAGGGAGCAAGCGUUGUCCGGAUUUACUGGGUGUAAAGGGUGCGUAGGCGGCUUUGCAAGUCAGAUGUGAAAUCUAUGGGCUCAACCCAUAAACUGCAUUUGAAACUGUAGAGCUUGAGUGAAGUAGAGGCAGGCGGAAUUCCCCGUGUAGCGGUGAAAUGCGUAGAGAUGGGGAGGAACACCAGUGGCGAAGGCGGCCUGCUGGGCUUUAACUGACGCUGAGGCACGAAAGCGUGGGUAGCAAACAGGAUUAGAUACCCUGGUAGUCCACGCUGUAAACGAUGAUUACUAGGUGUGGGGGGUCUGACCCCUUCCGUGCCGGAGUUAACACAAUAAGUAAUCCACCUGGGGAGUACGGCCGCAAGGUUGAAACUCAAAGGAAUUGACGGGGGCCCGCACAAGCAGUGGAGUAUGUGGUUUAAUUCGAAGCAACGCGAAGAACCUUACCAGGUCUUGACAUCCAACUAACGAAGUAGAGAUACAUUAGGUGCCCUUCGGGGAAAGUUGAGACAGGUGGUGCAUGGUUGUCGUCAGCUCGUGUCGUGAGAUGUUGGGUUAAGUCCCGCAACGAGCGCAACCCUUGCUAUUAGUUGCUACGCAAGAGCACUCUAAUAGGACUGCCGUUGACAAAACGGAGGAAGGUGGGGACGACGUCAAAUCAUCAUGCCCCUUAUGACCUGGGCUAUACACGUACUACAAUGGAUGUUAACAGAGGGAAGCAAGACAGCGAUGUGGAGCAAACCCCUAAAAACAUUCUCAGUUCAGAUUGCAGGCUGCAACCCGCCUGCAUGAAGAUGGAAUUGCUAGUAAUCGCGGAUCAGCAUGCCGCGGUGAAUACGUUCCC